RNAcentral lists this ribosomal RNA (253 nucleotides) under uncultured bacterium. Its description in RNAcentral is "partial 16S ribosomal RNA". It matches the Rfam family "Bacterial small subunit ribosomal RNA", at positions 524 to 776 of the family's 1533-position model. The record is from RNAcentral.
UACGUAGGGUGCAAGCGUUAAUCGGAAUUACUGGGCGUAAAGGGUGCGCAGGCGGUUUAGUAAGUCAGAUGUGAAAUCCCCGAGCUCAACUUGGGAACUGCGUUUGAAACUACUAAACUAGAAUAUGUCAGAGGGGGGUAGAAUUCCACGUGUAGCAGUGAAAUGCGUAGAGAUGUGGAGGAAUACCGAUGGCGAAGGCAGCCCCCUGGGAUAAUAUUGACGCUCAGGCACGAAAGCGUGGGGAGCGAACAGG